Molecule: ribosomal RNA, 457 nt
Filed under: uncultured bacterium
Lineage: Bacteria
Description: bacterial SSU rRNA
Rfam family: Bacterial small subunit ribosomal RNA
Source: RNAcentral
CCCUUAGAGUUUGAUCCUGGCUCAGGAUGAACGCUGGCGGCGUGCUUAACACAUGCAAGUCGAGCGAAGCACUUAAGUCUGAUUCUUCGGAUGAAGACUUUUGUGACUGAGCGGCGGACGGGUGAGUAACGCGUGGGUAACCUGCCUCAUACAGGGGGAUAACAGUUAGAAAUGACUGCUAAUACCGCAUAAGACCACGGUACCGCAUGGUACAGUGUGAAAAACUCCGGUGGUGUGAGAUGGAUCCGCGUCUGAUUAGGUAGUUGGUGAGGUAACGGCCCACCAAGCCGACGAUCAGUAGCCGACCUGAGAGGGUGACCGGCCACAUUGGGACUGAGACACGGCCCAAACUCCUACGGGAGGCAGCAGUGGGGAAUAUUGCACAAUGGGCGAAAGCCUGAUGCAGCAACGCCGCGUGAGUGAAGAAGUAUCUCGGUAUGUAAAGCUCUAUCAGCAG